This is an RNA transcript of Nomascus leucogenys (northern white-cheeked gibbon), 1634 nucleotides long. It is a transcript of the gene named ATPase Na+/K+ transporting subunit beta 3, with no coding region annotated. The transcript is spliced from 9 exons. Lineage: Eukaryota; Metazoa; Chordata; Mammalia; Primates; Hylobatidae. The record is from RefSeq and is a predicted model, not a curated record.
CCCAAGCGGCCGCCCGGCGCGGCGCGGCGCAGUCGGCUCGAGUACUCCCCGUAACGAGGAGGUGUUCUCGGCCGUCCCACCGUCCACUGCCGUCUCCGGGCUGCGCCGCCGGAGCCGGGACGCGCCUCCGCUGCCCUCGCCGCCUCCAUCCCCGCGGCCGCAGCUCCUCUCGCCGUCCGCGCGCACACCAUGACGAAGAACGAGAAGAAGUCCCUCAACCAGAGCCUGGCCGAGUGGAAGCUCUUCAUCUACAACCCGACCACCGGAGAAUUCCUGGGGCGCACCGCCAAGAGCUGGGGAUCGCAGUAUGUGGUAGGGAAGUGAUGCUGUCUGAAGGUGACAUCCUGUUCUCCUCUCUUCUGUCCUCUCGAUCCUUAUUUUGGCCACCUGGUUUGAUCUUGCUCUUCUACCUAGUUUUUUAUGGGUUCCUGGCUGCACUCUUCUCAUUCACGAUGUGGGUUAUGCUUCAGACUCUCAACGAUGAGGUUCCAAAAUACCGUGACCAGAUUCCUAGCCCAGGACUUAUGGUUUUUCCAAAACCAGUGACUGCAUUGGAAUAUACAUUCAGUAGGUCUGAUCCAACUUCGUAUGCAGGGUACAUUGAAGACCUUAAGAAGUUUCUAAAACCAUAUACUUUAGAAGAACAGAAGAACCUCACAGUCUGUCCUGAUGGAGCACUUUUUGAACAGAAGGGUCCAGUUUAUGUUGCAUGUCAGUUUCCUAUUUCGUUACUUCAAGCAUGCAGUGGUAUGAAUGAUCCUGAUUUUGGCUAUUCUCAAGGAAACCCUUGUAUUCUUGUGAAAAUGAACAGAAUAAUUGGAUUAAAGCCUGAAGGAGUGCCAAGGAUAGAUUGUGUUUCGCAGACAAAUAAUGUAAAAGAUGGAAUGAAGAUAUACCAAAUGUAGCAGUUUAUCCUCAUAAUGGAAUGAUAGACUUAAAAUAUUUCCCAUAUUAUGGGAAAAAACUGCAUGUUGGGUAUCUACAGCCAUUGGUUGCUGUUCAGGUCAGCUUUGCUCCUAACAAUACUGGGCAAGAAGUAACAGUUGAGUGCAAGAUUGAUGGAUCAGCCAACCUAAAAAGUCAGGAUGAUCGUGACAAGUUUUUGGGACGAGUUAUGUUCAAAAUCACAGCACGUGCAUAGUAUGAGUAGGAUAUCUCCACAGAGUAAAUGUUGUGUUGUCUGUCUUCAUUUCGUAUCAGCCGGACCUUCCAUUCUAGAAUUAUGAGAUCACCUUGGAGAAAGGUGUGUGGUACAUGACACUGGGUUACAUCAUAACGUGCUUCCAGAUCAUAGUGUUCAGUGUCCUCUGAAGUAACUGCCUGUUGCCUGUGCUGCCAGUGUACAGUCGCCAGAUAGGGACCAGUGAACACCUGAUUCCAAACAUGUAGGAUGGGGGUCUUGUCCUCUUUUUAUGUGGUUUAAUUGCCAAGUGUCUAAAGCUUAAUGUGCCGUGCUAUGUAAAUAUUUUAUGGAUAUAACAACUGUCAUCUUUUGAUGUCAACAGAGUUUUAGGGAUAAAAUGGUACCCGGCCAACAUCAAGUGACUUUAUAGCUGCAAGAAAUGUGGUAUGUGGAGAAGUUCUGUAUGUGAGGAAGGAAAAAAAGAAAAUAAAAGUGUAUUUGAAAAAUAUUA